GACGGAGGGCGCAAGCGUUGUUCGGAAUUACUGGGCGUAAAGCGCGUGUAGGCGGUCCAAUAAGUCGAGCGUGAAAGACCAGGGCUUAACCUUGGCAGUGCGUUUGAAACUGUUGGGCUUGAGUACGGGAGAGGGAAGCGGAAUUCCCGGUGUAGAGGUGAAAUUCGUAGAUAUCGGGAGGAACACCAGUGGCGAAGGCGGCUUCCUGGACCGAUACUGACGCUGAGACGCGAAAGCGUGGGGAGCAAACAGG
Molecule: ribosomal RNA, 253 nt
Filed under: uncultured bacterium
Lineage: Bacteria
Description: partial 16S ribosomal RNA
Rfam family: Bacterial small subunit ribosomal RNA
Source: RNAcentral